AUGGAACGGCGGUUCAAUUACCAGAGACCUGCGUUAACUGCGACCACGACAGCGGAGCUGCGUCCUUUAUACGUCAACACAUGGAGGAGCCGCUGGAGGAGGACGCGAGGCGACAGCUCUCAGAAGAUGCUGCGUGUGUGGAGUAUAAUAGAGGGAUGCUGCUCCUGUGGCCGCUGAGUGACUAAGCAACCGCCACCGCUGAUGGAUUGUGGGUCUCGUCUCAGUCCGCUCCAGCCGUAUACUUAUAUACACGUACAGUGCUGUAUAUAACUUUUUAUAGCAGCACUAUAUCUAAUAAUAGUAAAUGGUAAAGUCUACUGUAUAUACAGGCUGCAGACACUUAUUGAUUCCAGGCAUCCGCAUCCGUCGUUGGCAUUCAUGCCUGAGGUAUUGAUGAAGUUUUCCGUGCACUGUGGUGAUUUGCAUUUAAAAUCUCAUUUUUAUGAAGGUCAGGAUCAUUUAUUUUUAGCGCGACAGACACUCUUUACGUAUUUGUUUAAUGGAAUAUGAAUCACUUCACACCUGAGAAAUGAAUAGAUUCAGUGGUGACAUUUCCAAGAUCUGUUCUGGUGGUAAUAGCACAAUUUAGAGCUGAUAAAUGACCUGGACUGUUAAUGGAUUCAAAAUAAGGUCAAAAACAACUUGAGCAUCAUUAACCAUUUUCACUGUUUAAUUGUUACAUAUGGUUUCCUAAAUGAUUGAUAAUUAAGCGCCGCUCACUUACUUGCUUGGGCAAUUACCACAUGGGAAAAACACAGGCUUGCAAAAUAAUAACUCAUUAACUUCCUGUCAAUAGCGCGUUGUUUAACUGUGAAUUGAGCCUUGUUAAUGUACUGUAAUUCCAGACUUAAACUGUCUAAAAACACUACCCCUGAUUAUUUAGACAAAUAAUUUUUCUAUUACUCCAAUUAUUAACUCAGUUUGAGGAUGAAAUCCUUACUUUACUGUUUCUCCAGAGGACGAUUCAGGGGAACGCAUCCAGACGUACUGCAUGGUGAGGGGGAGAUAAAACAAUAGCGCUGUCACUUUCACGGGGGGGGGGGCUGGAUUUCGUCACGAGAAGAUGAGAGAUGAAGCUAACAAGGCUUCACUCUGUGGCGCCGAGGCCUCAAUCAGGGAUCGGCGGCGGUUAAUGAGGUCGCCCGUCUGAGCCCCUCUCCUCCGCCCGAGUUCAGAUUGAACAGAUUCGGGUUCUGCACAGAGCCGCCAGCGGGUAAUUGUGAACUUCACAAUGUUUUUUCGCGUCACCUGCAAACUCACCAGGCUGAUGCACGGCGGAUGCUUUGUUUCUCCUUAACGCAUGCGGUGUCAGAAAAUUACACUCGUAGAGACACAAUAAUCUGCAGGCCAAUGAAAUGAAAUGGGAUUGUAGCGGAUUAUGUGGGAAAUAAAGGAGGGAGUAAAAUGCA
RNAcentral lists this long non-coding RNA (1409 nucleotides) under Betta splendens (Siamese fighting fish). RNAcentral describes it as "lncRNA (ENSBSLG00000001749.1)". The record is from RNAcentral. Lineage: Eukaryota; Metazoa; Chordata; Actinopteri; Anabantiformes; Osphronemidae.